GAAAGUCACCAGACCAGCAAACAGCUCUCUGCCCUCUACGGCAGGACUCCACACUCUUAUGGGCACUGCUGAGGCCCAUGUCCUGCCCCUGGUGGAAGUUUGUGUUUUCUGGAUGGGUGGGUUGACCUACUAAUUUGGGAAGAGAAAGAAGCACCACGGAGGCAGUGAUUCAGUCAGGGUUCAGAGAUGAGCUAACCCGGACCUCAACAGCGCCUGUCCGGAGCAGUGCGUCUUCUGCACGUCCUUUGCUUCAAGGUUACAACUUGGUGAAAG
This 273-nucleotide long non-coding RNA is filed under the name Ictidomys tridecemlineatus (thirteen-lined ground squirrel). Its description in RNAcentral is "lncRNA (ENSSTOG00000032881.1)". The record is from RNAcentral. Lineage: Eukaryota; Metazoa; Chordata; Mammalia; Rodentia; Sciuridae.